Molecule: non-coding RNA, 24 nt
Filed under: Arabidopsis thaliana (thale cress)
Lineage: Eukaryota; Viridiplantae; Streptophyta; Magnoliopsida; Brassicales; Brassicaceae
Source: RNAcentral
ACACUACGCGAUGGCUUUCUCUUC